GACGAACGCUGGCGGCGUGCUUAACACAUGCAAGUCGAACGGAAAGGCCCUGCUUUCAUGGUAUUCUAGUGGCGAACGGGUGAGUAACACGUGGGUGUACUGCGCUCCACUUCGUGGUAAGCCUUGGAAACUGGGUCUAAUACCGGGUAUAAGCCAUUUUGCUGCUGAUGGUUGGAUGGUUUUUUCGGUGUAGGAUGGGCUCGCGGCCUAUCAGCUUGUUGGUGGGGUAAUGGCCUACCAAGGCGGCGACGGGUAGCCGGCCUGAGAGGGUGGACGGCCACAUUGGGACUGAGAUACGGCCCAGACUCCUACGGGAGGCAGCAGUGGGGAAUAUUGCACAAUGGGCGGAAGCCUGAUGCAGCGACGCCGCGUGGGGGAUGACGGCCUUCGGGUUGUAAACUCCUUUCGCUAGGGACGAAGCGUGUGUGACGGUAACGAGAUAAGAAGCACCGGCUAACUACGUG
Molecule: ribosomal RNA, 464 nt
Filed under: uncultured bacterium
Lineage: Bacteria
Description: partial 16S ribosomal RNA
Rfam family: Bacterial small subunit ribosomal RNA
Source: RNAcentral